This 910-nucleotide long non-coding RNA is filed under the name Physcomitrium patens. RNAcentral's name for it is "long non-coding RNA (PPAT_LNC003933)". Lineage: Eukaryota; Viridiplantae; Streptophyta; Bryopsida; Funariales; Funariaceae. The record is from RNAcentral.
AUUUAGUGUUUGAUUAUGAUUUAUUUAGGAUUUAGGAUUUGAUUAGGAUUUGGUUUAGGAUUUAGGAUUUGAAUUAGAAUUUGGUUUAGAGUUUAGGAUUUGGAUUAGGAUUUGGUUAGAUUUUGAUAAAGGAUUUAGGAUUUGGAUUAGGAUUUGAUUUAGUAUGUAGGAUUUGGAUUAGGAUUUGAUUUAGUAUUUAGGAUUUGGUUAGGAUUUGAUUUAGGAUUUAGGGUUUGAUUUAGGAUUUAGGAUUUGGAUUAGGAUUUGAUUAGGAUUUGAUUUAGGGUUUAGGGUUUGAUUUAGGAUUUGGUUGGGAUUUGGUUUAAGGUUUGUUUAGGAUUUUAUUUAAGGUUUAUUUAGGGUUUGAUUUAGGAUUUAGGAUUUUAUUAGGAUUUAAGAUUUAAUUAGUUUUGGCCUAAAGAUUGAAUGAAAUUCUAUAGGAUUUUAACUAGAAUUAAAUUAAGAUUGAAUCGAGAUGUAUUUGAGUGUUAUUUGUGAUCAUUCUAAUAUUUCUUUAAGAAUUCUUAUUCUUUGUUUGAAAUUUCUUUGAAGUUUUUUUGAAUUUUAUUAAGCUUGCUUAGCAUUAUUAUAGUCUAAUUAGAGCAUUGUUAGUAUUCUUUUAGAAUUAGGAUUUUGUUAUUACAAUUUCCAUUCUUCCUUCUACAUCCAAGUGCCCUGAGCAUUCUCAAGCAAGACUUCACAUAUUACGACACCAUAUUAAAGAAGUUCUUUAAUUUAGCCUUAGAAUUAUACAUCUAACUUUAUUAAGCUACAUGCAAAAUAACAAAUUAUUUUCCAAACAAAAUCUUAUUAUUUGGUGACUAAUUCUAUUUCUUUUUAUGAUAGAAAUAGCUAAAAGAAAUGUUCUUUGUUGAAGCUUGUGCAAGAGUAUAAGAUCUUGCCAUACAUU